Molecule: transfer RNA, 67 nt
Filed under: Ictidomys tridecemlineatus (thirteen-lined ground squirrel)
Lineage: Eukaryota; Metazoa; Chordata; Mammalia; Rodentia; Sciuridae
Description: Spermophilus tridecemlineatus (thirteen-lined ground squirrel) tRNA
Rfam family: tRNA
About the family: Transfer RNA (tRNA) molecules are approximately 80 nucleotides in length. Their secondary structure includes four short double-helical elements and three loops (D, anti-codon, and T loops).
Source: Rfam by way of RNAcentral
GGUUGUGGCUCAGUGGUAGAGUGCUUGCUUAGCAUGCAUGAGGCACUGGGUUCCAUCCUCAGAACCA